UACGUAGGGCGCAAGCGUUGUCCGGAAUCAUUGGGCGUAAAGCGCGCGUAGGUGGCCCGGCAAGUCCGCUCUGAAAGCCACAGGCUCAACCUGUGAAAGCGGGUGGAUACUGCCGGGCUAGAGUGCGGAAGAGGCGAGUGGAAUUCCUGGUGUAGCGGUGGAAUGCGCAGAUAUCGGGAGGAACACCAACGGCGAAGGCAGCUCGCUGGGACGGUACUGACACUGAGGCGCGAAAGCAUGGGGAGCGAACAGG
This 253-nucleotide ribosomal RNA is filed under the name uncultured bacterium. RNAcentral describes it as "partial 16S ribosomal RNA". It matches the Rfam family "Bacterial small subunit ribosomal RNA", at positions 524 to 776 of the family's 1533-position model. The record is from RNAcentral.